AGCUUUGCACAAGUGGCAGUAUCAUAACCAAUGAGAGUUAAUCUGAGGUGUGAUUAUUGCUACUUGAAAAUCCGCUCCUCUCCCCUUCCUGGUGGAGAUGUACAGUACUACUGUAGACAGCAGAACUGUACCCUCAUCUCUUUUUGUUACACUCACACAGU
This 161-nucleotide small nuclear RNA is filed under the name Chelonoidis abingdonii (Abingdon island giant tortoise). RNAcentral's name for it is "U4 spliceosomal RNA (ENSCABG00000006158.1)". The stretch from base 1 to 121 matches the Rfam family "U4 spliceosomal RNA". Rfam says of the family: U4 small nuclear RNA (U4 snRNA) is a component of the major U2-dependent spliceosome. The structure of U4 snRNA from yeast and human has been reported. The record is from RNAcentral. Lineage: Eukaryota; Metazoa; Chordata; Testudines; Testudinidae.